GUAACGGCUCACCAAGGCCACGAUGCAUAGCCGACCUGAGAGGGUGAUCGGCCACAUUGGGACUGAGACACGGCCCAAACUCCUACGGGAGGCAGCAGUAGGGAAUCUUCGGCAAUGGACGAAAGUCUGACCGAGCAACGCCGCGUGAGUGAAGAAGGUUUUCGGAUCGUAAAACUCUGUUGUUAGAGAAGAACAAGGAUGAGAGUAACUGUUCAUCCCUUGACGGUAUCUAACCAGAAAGCCACGGCUAACUACGUGCCAGCAGCCGCGGUAAUACGUAGGUGGCAAGCGUUGUCCGGAUUUAUUGGGCGUAAAGCGAGCGCAGGCGGUUUCUUAAGUCUGAUGUGAAAGCCCCCGGCUCAACCGGGGAGGGUCAUUGGAAACUGGGAGACUUGAGUGCAGAAGAGGAGAGUGGAAUUCCAUGUGUAGCGGUGAAAUGCGUAGAUAUAUGGAGGAACACCAGUGGCGAAGGCGGCUCUCUGGUCUGUAACUGACGCUGAGGCUCGAAAGCGUGGGGAGCAAACAGGAUUAGAUACCCUGGUAGUCCACGCCGUAAACGAUGAGUGCUAAGUGUUGGAGGGUUUCCGCCCUU
This 592-nucleotide ribosomal RNA is filed under the name Staphylococcus epidermidis. RNAcentral describes it as "bacterial SSU rRNA". It matches the Rfam family "Bacterial small subunit ribosomal RNA", at positions 257 to 840 of the family's 1533-position model. The record is from RNAcentral. Lineage: Bacteria; Bacillati; Bacillota; Bacilli; Caryophanales; Staphylococcaceae.